This 950-nucleotide ribosomal RNA is filed under the name uncultured bacterium. RNAcentral's name for it is "bacterial SSU rRNA". It matches the Rfam family "Bacterial small subunit ribosomal RNA", at positions 28 to 942 of the family's 1533-position model. The record is from RNAcentral.
GACGAACGCUGGCGGCGUGCCUAAUACAUGCAAGUCGAGCGCGGGAAGCAGGCAGACCUUCUUCGGGAGGGACGCCUGUGGAACGAGCGGCGGACGGGUGAGUAACACGUGGGCAACCUACCUGUAAGUCUGGGAUAACCCCGGGAAACCGGGGCUAAUACCGGAUAGGCACCACGUGCGCAUGCAUGUGGUGUGAAAGGCGGGUUUUGGCCUGCCGCUUACAGAUGGGCCUGCGGCGCAUUAGCUAGUUGGUGAGGUAACGGCUCACCAAGGCGACGAUGCGUAGCCGACCUGAGAGGGUGACCGGCCACACUGGGACUGAGACACGGCCCAGACUCCUACGGGAGGCAGCAGUAGGGAAUCUUCCGCAAUGGGCGAAAGCCUGACGGAGCAACGCCGCGUGAGCGAGGAAGGCCUUCGGGUCGUAAAGCUCUGUUGUGAGGGAAGAAAGAGUGCAGGAGUAACUGUCUGCACGUUGACGGUACCUCACGAGGAAGCCCCGGCUAACUACGUGCCAGCAGCCGCGGUAAUACGUAGGGGGCGAGCGUUGUCCGGAAUUAUUGGGCGUAAAGCGCGCGCAGGCGGUCCACUAAGUCUGAUGUGAAAGCCCCCGGCUUAACCGGGGAGGGUCAUUGGAAACUGGUGGACUUGAGUGCAGGAGAGGAGAGUGGAAUUCCACGUGUAGCGGUGAAAUGCGUAGAGAUGUGGAGGAACACCAGUGGCGAAGGCGGCUCUCUGGCCUGUAACUGACGCUGAGGCGCGAAAGCGUGGGGAGCAAACAGGAUUAGAUACCCUGGUAGUCCACGCCGUAAACGAUGAGUGCUAGGUGUUGGGGGGAGCAAUCUCCUCAGUGCUGAAGUUAACACAUUAAGCACUCCGCCUGGGGAGUACGGCCGCAAGGCUGAAACUCAAAGGAAUUGACGGGGGCCCGCACAAGCGGUGGAGCAUGU